GAUGAACGCUAGCUACAGGCUUAACACAUGCAAGUCGAGGGGCAGCAUGGUCUUAGCUUGCUAAGGCCGAUGGCGGCCGGCGCACGGGUGAGUAACACGUAUCCAACCUGCCGUCUACUCUUGGACAGCCUUCUGAAAGGAAGAUUAAUACAAGAUGGCAUCAUGAGUCCGCAUGUUCACAUGAUUAAAGGUAUUCCGGUAGACGAUGGGGAUGCGUUCCAUUAGAUAGUAGGCGGGGUAACGGCCCACCUAGUCUUCGAUGGAUAGGGGUUCUGAGAGGAAGGUCCCCCACAAUGGAACUGAGACACGGUCCAAACUCAUACGGGAGGCAGCAGUGAGGAAUAUUGGUCAAUGGGCGAGAGCCUGAACCAGCCAAGUAGCGUGAAGGAAGACUGCCAUAUGGAUUGUAAACUUCUUUUAUAAAGGAAUAAAGUCGGGUAGGGAUACCCGUUUGCAUGUACUUUAUGAAUAAGGAUCGGCUAACUCCGUG
Molecule: ribosomal RNA, 490 nt
Filed under: uncultured bacterium
Lineage: Bacteria
Description: partial 16S ribosomal RNA
Rfam family: Bacterial small subunit ribosomal RNA
Source: RNAcentral